Molecule: ribosomal RNA, 482 nt
Filed under: uncultured bacterium
Lineage: Bacteria
Description: bacterial SSU rRNA
Rfam family: Bacterial small subunit ribosomal RNA
Source: RNAcentral
GACGAACGCUGGCGGCGUGCCUAACACAUGCAAGUCGAGCCGAUGAAAUUUUCUUCGGAAGAUGGAUUAGCGGCGGACGGGUGAGUAACACGUGAGUAACCUGCCUCAAAGAGGGGGAUAGCCUUCCGAAAGGGAGAUUAAUACCGCAUAAUAUCAGAUGGUCGCAUGGCCGACUGAUUAAAGGAGCAAUCCGCUUUGAGAUGGACUCGCGGCGCAUUAGCUAGUUGGUAAGGUAACGGCUUACCAAGGCGACGAUGCGUAGCCGACCUGAGAGGGUGAUCGGCCACAUUGGGACUGAGACACGGCCCAGACUCCUACGGGAGGCAGCAGUGGGGAAUAUUGCGCAAUAGACGAAAGUCUGACGCAGCAACGCCGCGUGGGUGAUGAAGGUCUUCGGAUUGUAAAGCCCUGUCUUCGAGGACGAUAAUGACGGUACUCGAGGAGGAAGCCACGGCUAACUACGUGCCAGCAGCCGCGGUAAU